Non-coding RNA from Drosophila suzukii, 1404 nucleotides. The record is from RefSeq and is a predicted model, not a curated record. Lineage: Eukaryota; Metazoa; Arthropoda; Insecta; Diptera; Drosophilidae.
CUGAGAGCCCGAAUCAAGAGGAGCUUAACAACGAAAGAAAACCCAAGAAAGAUUUUUUACUAAAACGCUGGCUAUUGCUAAGUGCACAGUAUCAUUACUAAAAUCGUGUGCAACAAGUACAGAGGGUUCUAUGACACGAUUUAGUGAGGCAGAGUUAAGCGCUUCUGGAGACAUGUACGGCAUUUAAUGGAAUGGCAUUGCCUCACUUGAUGACAAGUCUUAAGGCAAUUUAUGCAAAGGGCGAGCCUUUUUGCUUCCUGAAGGCGAUUCGUAGAGCUGGUGCAGCUGAGAGCCCGAAUCAAGAGGAGCUUAACAACGAAAGAAAACCCAAGAAAGAUUUUUUACUAAAACGCUGGCUAUUGCUAAGUGCACAGUAUCAUUACUAAAAUCGUGUGCAACAAGUACAGAGGGUUCUAUGACACGAUUUAGUGAGGCAGAGUUAAGCGCUUCUGGAGACAUGUACGGCAUUUAAUGGAAUGGCAUUGCCUCACUGGAUGACAAGUCUUAAGGCAAUUUAUGCAAAGGGCGAGCCUUUUUGCUUCCUGAAGGCGAUUCGUAGAGCUGGUGCAGCUGAGAGCCCGAAUCAAGAGGAGCUUAACAACGAAAGAAAACCCAAGAAAGAUUUUUUACUAAAACGCUGGCUAUUGCUAAGUGCACAGUAUCAUUACUAAAAUCGUGUGCAACAAGUACAGAGGGUUCUAUGACACGAUUUAGUGAGGCAGAGUUAAGCGCUUCUGGAGACAUGUACGGCAUUUAAUGGAAUGGCAUUGCCUCACUUGAUGACAAGUCUUAAGGCAAUUUAUGCAAAGGGCGAGCCUUUUUGCUUCCUGAAGGCGAUUCGUAGAGCUGGUGCAGCUGAGAGCCCGAAUCAAGAGGAGCUUAACAACGAAAGAAAACCCAAGAAAGAUUUUUUACUAAAACGCUGGCUAUUGCUAAGUGCACAGUAUCAUUACUAAAAUCGUGUGCAACAAGUACAGAGGGUUCUAUGACACGAUUUAGUGAGGCAGAGUUAAGCGCUUCUGGAGACAUGUACGGCAUUUAAUGGAAUGGCAUUGCCUCACUUGAUGACAAGUCUUAAGGCAAUUUAUGCAAAGGGCGAGCCUUUUUGCUUCCUGAAGGCGAUUCGUAGAGCUGGUGCAGCUGAGAGCCCGAAUCAAGAGGAGCUUAACAACGAAAGAAAACCCAAGAAAGAUUUUUUACUAAAACGCUGGCUAUUGCUAAGUGCACAGUAUCAUUACUAAAAUCGUGUGCAACAAGUACAGAGGGUUCUAUGACACGAUUUAGUGAGGCAGAGUUAAGCGCUUCUGGAGACAUGUACGGCAUUUAAUGGAAUGGCAUUGCCUCACUUGAUGACAAGUCUUAAGGCAAUUUAUGCAAAGGGCGAGCCUUUUUGCUUCCUGAAGG